Non-coding RNA from Scleropages formosus (Asian bonytongue), 73 nucleotides. The record is from the annotation of a RefSeq genome assembly. NCBI's taxonomy places the organism in Eukaryota, Metazoa, Chordata, Actinopteri, Osteoglossiformes, Osteoglossidae.
GUUUUUGUGGUGUAGUGGUUAUCAUGUUUGCCUAACAUGCAAAAGGUUCCCUGUUUAAAACCGGGCAGAAUCA